GUAGGUGAACCUGCGGAAGGAUCAUUACAGAGUUCAUGCCCUCACGGGUAGAUCUCCCACCCUUGAUAUCUAUUCUCUUGUUGCUUUGGCGGGACGCUUCUUGCCACGGGCUUCGGCUCGUGAGUGCCCGCCAGAGACCCAACCAACUCAUGUUUUAUGUGUCGUCUGAGUACUAUAUAAUAGUUAAAACUUUCAACAACGGAUCUCUUGGUUCUG
RNAcentral lists this unclassified non-coding RNA (216 nucleotides) under rhizosphere metagenome. Its description in RNAcentral is "partial ribosomal RNA internal transcribed spacer region". The record is from RNAcentral.